Molecule: non-coding RNA, 104 nt
Filed under: Helicobacter sp.
Lineage: Bacteria; Pseudomonadati; Campylobacterota; Epsilonproteobacteria; Campylobacterales; Helicobacteraceae
Also listed under: 1 other name
Description: TPP sequence
Rfam family: TPP riboswitch aptamer (THI element)
About the family: Vitamin B(1) in its active form thiamin pyrophosphate (TPP) is an essential coenzyme that is synthesised by coupling of pyrimidine and thiazole moieties in bacteria.
Source: RNAcentral
GUUUCAAGUGACGGGAGUCUAUACAUAGGCUGAGAGUAAGCUAAGAGCUUAGACCGAACCGGAUCUGGGUAAUGCCAGCGUCGGGAACGCUAGAAUCAUAUUUG